This is a long non-coding RNA of Larimichthys crocea (large yellow croaker), 713 nucleotides long. RefSeq lists it as uncharacterized. The transcript has 6 exons. The record is from RefSeq and is a predicted model, not a curated record. NCBI's taxonomy places the organism in Eukaryota, Metazoa, Chordata, Actinopteri, Sciaenidae.
ACGUUUUUAGUGAGCUUUUAUUUUGUGUAUUUUAUUUUCUUGAUGUGAACUUUGACUCCGAGUGUGAUGUCACUGCCUGUGCUGAUUAGCCCAGGUGCGUGCUGAGGAGAGGUGUGCUAAUAGAAACCCUCAUGAAGCCACUGAUUUAAACCAAUUUCAUCCUGAAGAGAGCAGUGGUCCUCGUGUACUUCAAGCUGACACAAGACCGAAGCAAUAUGAAGUGCCGCGUGAGCAUUCUCCCUGAGUCCAGCCUGGUGGUGUUUUUUUUUCUUUUUCUUCUGAGAGCCGAGCGGAGCCGAGCAUGAAAGUGACUUCCUCGAUCAUCUCCGCAGCCCGCGGCGUUCUGUUCAAUCCCUCCAUCGCCAUGAUGGACUUCAGGGUCACGACUCGCUUCCUCCUGGAAACACGCCGUUACUGAGAGGGGUGUUAAGAUGGGAGAUGCUGUGAACUCCUGCAGCUGCAGAGUGAAGCAGGAUUUGCUCUCUGUCCCGGAGGUCCACCUUAAAGCAACGGGGAGUGAUUAGCUGCGGCAGCUUCGGCCAAGCGAGACUUUCAUGGGCGUUGAUGAACACAUCAUCCAUCGCUGGGAUUAAACGCGACUAUUACCCGUAAAGUGUCUGAGAUUCUCUCGCCGUGAGGUCAUGCCGCCGUCCAAUCGCCGCAGUAAACAAAAGGGGGUGGAGCUGUAACUCAACUUUCCCUUCUGGAACCAA